This 72-nucleotide transfer RNA is filed under the name Apaloderma vittatum (bar-tailed trogon). It matches the Rfam family "tRNA". From Rfam's summary of the family: Transfer RNA (tRNA) molecules are approximately 80 nucleotides in length. The record is from Rfam by way of RNAcentral. Lineage: Eukaryota; Metazoa; Chordata; Aves; Trogoniformes; Trogonidae.
GGCCAGUUAGCUCAGUCACUUGAGCGUAGCGCUAACAACGCUAAGGUCAUGGGUUUGAUUCCCGUUCGGUCA